CGCGUAGGCGGGGGACCAAGUCCGGGGUGAAAUCUUUCGGCUCAACCGGAAAACUGCCUUGGAUACUGGUCUUCUUGAGGGAGGUAGGGGCAGGUGGAACUUCCGGUGGAGCGGUGAAAUGCGUUGAUAUCGGAAGGAACGCCGGUGGCGAAAGCGACCUGCUGGAUCUCUUCUGACGCUGAGGCGCGAAAGCUAGGGGAGCGAAAG
RNAcentral lists this ribosomal RNA (207 nucleotides) under uncultured bacterium. RNAcentral describes it as "partial 16S ribosomal RNA". It matches the Rfam family "Bacterial small subunit ribosomal RNA", at positions 568 to 774 of the family's 1533-position model. The record is from RNAcentral.